Oncorhynchus mykiss (rainbow trout) is the source of this 986-nucleotide non-coding RNA. The record is from RefSeq and is a predicted model, not a curated record. NCBI's taxonomy places the organism in Eukaryota, Metazoa, Chordata, Actinopteri, Salmoniformes, Salmonidae.
GUUCAGUUAGGUUUAUUUUGAUGGCUGGUUUUUUUGACGGGUGCUGUGUUCACCCGUGCGUUAUCUUUACCGUUUUGGUCAAGUGUAAUUGUUACCUUGUGCCUUGUUGAGGAAAGUACGUUGCUCACUCAUUCUGCUUUCCUGCGUCUGACUUCAUGCACCAGCUACACUCACCUUCUGACAUGCAUGCUGUUCACGUGUGUAUGAUCAAACUUAAUGAUCUUCCUUUUCAAAAGGAUGACAAGAUAAAGCAUAUUAAUGUUAUGCAUUUGUGUUCCUCCCUUCAUUGAGUUGAUAGACGGUAAGGCUCAUCUGGUGUGUAUUUGCGAAAAACCACAAGGGAAAUGACAGGCAAAUUGUGAGACUUAGCAAAGCUUGGAGUUAUUGCAUUGUUAAAACGGUCCCUAAAUCCAUCAUUUUUUUUGUGGUACCAUCCUCUCAUUAUGGACAAACUGCCCAUCUAUCAGUAUUCUGACCACCUACAUUCUGACCUCCUUUCAGACAACAUUCUGGAGAUAACUGCAAUAAUGUCUCUUGCUCAGGAUGUGCUGAUGCACAAGUCCCAUAGAGCAGUGCUGGUUAGAGAGGCAGAGAUGAGCUGGAAACCAUGGCAACUCAGUGCUUCACUUCUCCAUUCCCCAAGCCCUGCUGGAGAGGAGACGAAUACCUGCGCAGGCCUAAUCCCAUUCAACACCUGCAUACAAAGAAGGCCUCCGUUUCGGCAUGAUAUGAAAAUACACAGGGGAUUGACAAGAUACAUUUUUGAUGGACUGCUGUUUUCCUGUAAUGUCUCCAUAUCACACGGAGUACACACCAACGCUGACAAACAGCUCUGGCUAUUGGUUUGGCACCCUCCACCUAAUUCCAUUGGUGAAACAUUUACUGUGGGGAAACAAAUUAAUCGCCUCCUUCUUCUACCUCUAAUGACUGGAAGCUAAACCGUAUUUGUAUCCCAAGCCAUUGAUUAAAGCUACCAGCACUUGUCA